CUAUAACGGUCCUAAGGUAGCGAAAUUCCUUGUCGGGUAAGUUCCGACCCGCACGAAAGGCGCAACGAUCUGGGCACUGUCUCAACGAGAGACUCGGUGAAAUUAUAGUACCUGUGAAGAUGCAGGUUACCCGCGACAGGACGGAAAGACCCCGUGGAGCUUUACUGCAGCCUGAUAUUGAAUGUUGGUACAGCUUGUACAGGAUAGGUAGGAGCCUUGGAAACCGGAGCGCUAGCUUCGGUGGAGGCAUCGGUGGGAUACUACCCUGGCUGUAUUGACCUUCUAACCCGCUGCCCUUAUCGGGCAGGGAGACAGUGUCAGGUGGGCAGUUUGACUGGGGCGGUCGCCUCCUAAAAUGUAACGGAGGCGCCCAAAGGUUCCCUCAGAAUGGUUGGAAAUCAUUCGCAGAGUGUAAAGGCACAAGGGAGCUUGACUGCGAGACCUACAAGUCGAGCAGGGACGAAAGUCGGGCUUAGUGAUCCGGUGGUUCCGCAUGGAAGGGCCAUCGCUCAACGGAUAAAAGCUACCCCGGGGAUAACAGGCUUAUCUCCCCCAAGAGUCCACAUCGACGGGGAGGUUUGGCACCUCGAUGUCGGCUCAUCGCAUCCUGGGGCUGUAGUCGGUCCCAAGGGUUGGGCUGUUCGCCCAUUAAAGCGGUACGCGAGCUGGGUUCAGAACGUCGUGAGACAGUUCGGUCCCUAUCCGUCGCGGGCGCAGGAAAUUUGAGAGGAGCUGUCCUUAGUACGAGAGGACCGGGAUGGACGCACCGCUGGUGUACCAGUUGUUCUGCCAAGGGCAUCGCUGGGUAGCUAUGUGCGGACGGGAUAAGUGCUGAAAGCAUCUAAGCAUGAAGCCCCCCUCAAGAUGAGAUUUCCCAUUCCGCAAGGAAGUAAGAUCCCUGAAAGAUGAUCAGGUUGAUAGGUCUGAGGUGGAAGCGUGGUGACACGUGGAGCUGACAGAUACUAAUAGAUCGAGGACUUAACCUAUA
RNAcentral lists this ribosomal RNA (988 nucleotides) under Enterobacter cloacae. Its description in RNAcentral is "bacterial LSU rRNA". It matches the Rfam family "Bacterial large subunit ribosomal RNA", at positions 1940 to 2925 of the family's 2925-position model. Lineage: Bacteria; Pseudomonadati; Pseudomonadota; Gammaproteobacteria; Enterobacterales; Enterobacteriaceae. RNAcentral also lists the same sequence under 1 other name. The record is from RNAcentral.